AGUUUGAUCCUGGCUCAGGAUGAACGCUGGCGGCGUGCCUAACACAUGCAAGUCGAACGGAGUUCUUAAGGAAUGCGACUUCGGUCAAAUGACUUUUGAACUUAGUGGCGGACGGGUGAGUAACGCGUGAGCAACCUGCCUUUCAGAGGGGGAUAACAUUUGGAAACAGAUGCUAAUACCGCAUAAGAUUACAGUACCGCAUGAUACAGUGAUCAAAGGAGCAAUCCGCUGAAAGAUGGGCUCGCGUCCGAUUAGAUAGUUGGUGAGGUAACGGCUCACCAAGUCGACGAUCGGUAGCCGGACUGAGAGGUUGAACGGCCACAUUGGGACUGAGACACGGCCCAGACUCCUACGGGAGGCAGCAGUGGGGAAUAUUGCACAAUGGGCGAAAGCCUGAUGCAGCAACGCCGCGUGAGGGAAGACGGUUUUCGGAUUGUAAACCUCUGUUUUCGGUGACGAACAAAUGACGGUAACCGAGUAGGAAGCCACGGCUAACUACGUGCCAGCAGCCGCGGUAAUACGUAGGUGGCAAGCGUUAUCCGGAAUUACUGGGUGUAAAGGGAGCGCAGGCGGGAUAGCAAGUCAGCUGUGAAAACUAUGGGCUCAACCCAUAAACUGCAGUUGAAACUGUUAUUCUUGAGUGGAGUAGAGGCAAGCGGAAUUCCGAGUGUAGCGGUGAAAUGCGUAGAUAUUCGGAGGAACACCAGUGGCGAAGGCGGCUUGCUGGGCUCUAACUGACGCUGAGGCUCGAAAGUGUGGGGAGCAAACAGGAUUAGAUACCCUGGUAGUCCACACUGUAAACGAUGAUUGCUAGGUGUGGGGGGUCUGACCCCCUCCGUGCCGGAGUUAACGCAAUAAGCAAUCCACCUGGGGAGUACGGCCGCAAGGUUGAAACUCAAAUGAAUUGACG
This 910-nucleotide ribosomal RNA is filed under the name uncultured bacterium. RNAcentral's name for it is "bacterial SSU rRNA". It matches the Rfam family "Bacterial small subunit ribosomal RNA", at positions 10 to 915 of the family's 1533-position model. The record is from RNAcentral.